GUGAAGCUGGACUCCAUGUCACCACAUCCAGGAGCCCAAUGGACAGGUUCCAUAUGGCAAGGAACGGAAGGUUCCUUCCAAUAGGUAGCACAAACUGUGGCCCUGUGAAGACACAGUGAGAAGCCAGCCAUCUGCAAAGCAGGAAGAGGGCCCUCACCAAACAUCUGACCAUGCUGGGGUCCCGACCUCAGACUUUCAGCCUCUAGAACGUGUGAAGAUGCAGCGAAGCAGCACUAUCUAUGAAGCCGAGAGCAAGCCCUCAUCAGACACCAAAUCUGCUGCUGCCUCGAUCUUGCACUUCUGGUCUCCAAAAUGGUGAGCAAUACAUUUUUACUGUUUAUAAAUUACUCAGUCUGAGUUAUUUUGUUAUAGCAGUCUGAAUGGACUAAGACAAUCUUGAAAAGAUGUAGGCUAAUUUUUCUUAUGGCAUGUGGUAUUUCAUGGCAACGUCUUCGCAAAGCAGCUCUCAGAAAAAAGGAAAAUAGAAGAAAGGAAAGAGGCAUAUACAGAAAGUGGGCAAAACAUCUGUAUCAUGUCAUUCAAUUGGUUAAGAAACCUUUCC
Symphalangus syndactylus (siamang) is the source of this 562-nucleotide long non-coding RNA. RefSeq lists it as uncharacterized. The record is from RefSeq and is a predicted model, not a curated record. Lineage: Eukaryota; Metazoa; Chordata; Mammalia; Primates; Hylobatidae.